Chrysemys picta bellii (western painted turtle) is the source of this 9765-nucleotide non-coding RNA. NCBI's taxonomy places the organism in Eukaryota, Metazoa, Chordata, Testudines, Emydidae. The record is from RefSeq and is a predicted model, not a curated record.
UCACCCACCCUUCUGGCUGAUGUAAUGAUGACUAGGAAGGUGACCUUCAUAGAUCGGUGACCAAGUAAAUGUGGAAAGUAUGAGACUGAGGUCCCAAUGUGACACUGGCUUCAUUACUGGUGGAAAGGUCUUAGUCAAACCCUUAGGAAUCUGGUUGAUACCAAAUGAGUAAAAAUAUAAUGGUUAUCUAUUGAAGGAUGGCAUGCAUUGAUUGCUGCUCAGUGGACCCACAGCAAGCUAAUGGAAAGACCUGACAUCUUGAGAGUGAGGAAGUAGUUUAAGAUAUCAGGCAUACCUGCUGACCCUGAUGAUAAGUGGUUCUGUUGCACCCAAAUAGGGAAAUGCUUCCAUUGGCUAGAUAACACUUUCUAGUAGAAUGUUUCCUGCUGUGAUUAAGAGUAGUUUGUUUGGCCUCAGAACAUUAACGGCCAAAGCGUGAUGCACGCCCACAUACCAGCCCAUGAGGUAAAGAGAGCCCAGGUUGGGAUGUCUGGUCUUGCCAUUGUCCUCCGUUAGCUUGGAGUUUGUGAGUGACUUGAUUUAUCAGACUGCUCAUGGAAUGGAAUCUGUUCAAAGGGAGGUAAGCCUUGCUGUGGUUGAAUUCAAGGUCACUCUUAUAAAGUCUAUGAUCUGUGUGGGAGUCAGAAUAGAGUCUUCCAUGUUUACACAGAUUCCCAAGAAUGCAAAGAGGUCCAGUUGCCAACUGAACUUCUAGAUGGGUAUUUGCCUGUUAAAGGCCAAUCUUAACAUAGGGGAAGAUGGUGUAAACAUUUUGUCUUAUCUGUGCUGCCAUCACUAAGAAGACCUUCAUAAAGACCUGGGGUGCUGUUGCCAGACCCAGGCAGUGGAGAAAGAGAAACUUGAUGGUGUAGCCAAAGUGGAUGAUAUCUGUUAUACGUCUCCACUUGUGGGCACAGAAUGCUGGAUGGCCACCAAAACAGACUUCAGAAACAGGCGGGGAUGGCAUAAUUAUUAGGUCACAACUUCCAAGUGUCCUGUCAAACGUAACCUUUCCCAGGUGUAUGACAUUCAGAUUGAAGUGCAUGAGGCUGCAUACUUUGGUCUCUGUGCCCUUUGAUGCUAGUGUGGCAGUCUGUAUGGUGGUUGGUGGUAGAAACUCUGUGGAAGACGCCGUGACUUUUAUACCUGUUUAUGGUGCUUCCUCUUCAAGGCCAGAGCAUACAUGUCCGGUAAGGUGAGGGUUGUCCUGAAGUCUUUUAACAAGGGCAAAGACUCAUCCAUUUUCUUGUUGAAGAGAUUAGUUUUAUCAAAGGGCAAGUCCUCAGGGGAGUUCUAAACCUCCCUGGGGAACUCUGAAGCGUGAAACCAUGACACUUGCUAUAGAUCCUGAUGCAGUAUUGGCUGCAGCCACCUGUAUCUGGUCAAAUUUAAAAUGAUAUACAAAGGAUUCAGUGAAGAAAGCUUUUAUAUAUGUAAUAUCAUUAUUGUGCCUUAGUCCAUAAGACCCCAAAUCAUCAAGCCUCUUAAACAUGUGCCCAGGUUUAAGCACAUGAGUUUAAUAAGUCUACUCAUGUCUUUAAAGGUAAGCAUAUGCUUAGGGUACCUAUGGGAUUGGAAACCAAACACAGCAAUAGUUUCUGAAGCAAAAAUUACUGGUCAGCAAGGAAGAAAGUUGUCAUUCACACACUUUCAACAACUGGAUUGCAUUUGGCAAUCCAAAAGUGAAACCAACAAAUAAACUACAUAUAACAGAACUCAUAUGUAUUUUAUAAAUAUAUAUAUUAAUACCAAACAUGAAUUCUGAUUAAUUCAAUCAAGGGGGCCUAUGUUGGACUUCCAGAUUCUUGAGGGCCCAGAAUUUUUUAUGGUGGUCCUGAUGAUAUAGCUGUGGUUGUUUCCCUGCUUUUUUUUGUAAAGUGCCUCUAGGCUUUUCAUACAUUUUAAACAUUUGUGAAACAUAAGAUUGCUUGCAAAACCAUCCGUCCUCUGCUUGCUUGUGAUUGCAAUGCCUGACAAAUAGUCUUUGUUUUCUUUUGCAGUGUCUCUUCUUUCACAGGCCCCACCAGCAGUGUUCCAAAAUUUCAUAAUGUUUUUCCUAAUGUUUAUUUAUAGUUUAUGGGAAUCAAUGCAAACCUUAUGUUUCAGAAGGGCCAUGUGACAGUGUUUUCUUCUUUUAACAAAACCACCAAAUUUCCAAUUUAAACACACUUCCAUAGCUAAGGAUUGAUUUAAACCUGUGUUAUUCUCUCUAUAUUUUUUUUAAAGCCUUGUCAAAAAGUCAAGAAAGACAGGAUCUCUGUCUAGUCAUAGUGCUGGUGCAAGCAGUGAAAUGUGAGUCCCUCAUUCAUGUAACCCUGACCUGGGAAGAUGACCAACUCUAGGGGUAGGAGAUAAUUUAAUUUCCAUGCAUGUCAAGUUCUAUUUUGCUUAUUCAGAGAGACAGCAGAGAAGUGUCGAAUUCUGCAAAAUAAGGUGUUCUGGUUUGGUGAUGCAGAAUAACCUCCUCUAUGGGGCUGAGCUUAAAUCACCAAGUUUAAUUCUCUUCAGACCCUGGGGUGGGCCUGAAACCAGAUUGUGAAGUUUUUAAAAAAAAGUUCUUGUAAACUAUUUAGUUCCCAACAUAAUGGGUUUUAUUUUGUUAUAUUUUAUAUUUAUGAAUCAGCAAAGGAACUUUGAGGGUUGGGAGUGAGGGUCACAGUUCAAACAUUUGGAUUUGCUAUUUCAUAGUUCUCAGUACAAAGGAAGUGGUUAAAAACAUUAAUCUGGAGCUCUGAUAUUUUGUAACUGGAACUCAAGAUGAGACUAAAACAAACAAGGUACCUGGAUUUGCUCAUUUUCCCCAGGGUACAAAUCAUUUUAUCAUGUGGGGCUUUAAAAAAAAUUCCUUUGGUUCUAGGGAUGGGCAAACCUUGUGGAAUUCAAGGUGUUAUGAACCUCUCAAAGUAAUUUUUCGGCUCAUGAAGUAAAUAUUUCCCCCCCACCCCCUGCUGUUCCCCACUUCUAUAAUUCAAACCUAUGUUGUUGGGUUUGUCCUUGAGUAAUGACUGAGUUGCUUUUUCUUUUUUCUAACUAAGAGAAAAUCUGUUGAAUGUUUUAGGAGUAGACGCCUCCCCCCAUAAAACCUAUUCAUGUACAGUUGGGUGUCCUCAGUACAUUAAAAUCUUUACAGAUGCCUUUGCAAGUAACUAAGUUUCCCACGGUAGUCACAAUAUUUCUUAUAUAAAUACGGGGCUCAACCCUGCAAGUUAUUGAGCUCUUUGGCCAUGAUCCAGUAAGGCAAGGGGACUACUCAUAUGCAUAAAGUUAAGUACAUACUUAAACACUUUGCUUAUUGCUCAACACCUUGCAGGAUCAAUACCACAGAGCAUGUUGCUUUAACAUUAUAUACUGGCAAAGGCAAAAUGAUAAAGCGUUUAAUGGUGACAUUUACAGAAUACAUCUAUUGUGUUUGUUUCUUCAUUCCUAUUUUUCUCUUAUUCCCUUUCUGUUCCAUUUUUCAUUAUGAGGCAUCUCCUCCACUGACUUCAAUGGAGCUAUGACAAUUUAUACCAGCUGAGGAUUUGACUCCAUACAUUUUAUAUGAAUAUAUUUCCUCCCUGCGCCUCCCUUGAAGGUGUGUGCUAAGUGUAAUAUGAAGUUUCAAAUCCAUGAUUUUACAGUGGAUCCCAAAUUAGGCCAAAAAACGUUUGACUAUCCCUAAGCACACACCAUUUUGCUUCCGUCUGAAUUAGAGACACCAUUAAAUUGAAAAUCACAAUUCCACUUAGAAAUUUUGUCUUUGCUAUUAUUAUUAUUAAGUAACCAACAGAAAAGUAGAAUAUUCAUUUUUUUAACCUAGUCUAUAGAAGGUUUCAUUGUUUUGCCAGUAGUGCACACCCUUCCUGAGACUCUGCAAGAAGGUGUUUAAUGAUGACUGCAGCAGCAAUGGUGAAACUAAGGAAGCAGUCAAUGGGAAUGUGCACAGAGAGAAAAGACAGUGGGAAUGAAAGAAAGCCUAUGUCAGUGGUAGCAUUCUCUGAUCCGCCCAAAGACCUUUUUAAACAUUGAGGGAAGAAGAAAAUCCUCUAAUUAAAAUAAAUAAAAGAAAUACAAUUGCUACGUAAAGCUUGCUCCAUCAGAAAACUGAUUAAAAAAAAAUCAUUCAAUUAAAAAAAUUCAUGUUGAUAGUGUCCCUUGUUCUUUGGAUCUGUUAGUAGUAGCUAUAGUCUUGGGGUAAAAUUGAAGUCAAUGGCAAAAUUCUUGUUGACUUUAAUGGUGCCAUCCCCGGAGUGUAUAAUUUCACCUGCAACAGAGCUCAAUAUUAUUCAAAGGAAUUCACUGUUCAGGUAAGGAAAUAUGCUGCAAUACAGAGAUGUUAAGACUCAAGGACUUUGUUGUUCGUUAGAAGGGAAUCUUACGUCUUUUAGUAACCGUGGUUUCCAAAGAACCCUAGCUUUUUAUACAUAAGUAGAAUAGAGUAUGUACAUUAUGUAGGCUAUAAAAUUGAUCCUUCAGUGACCUCUCAUGCCAAAUUCUGUUUUCAGUUACUCCAGUGCAAGCCCACUGAAGUUAGCAAGAAUGCCCCAGAGAAGCUAAGCAGAAUUUGGUCCUGUGCUUGCAAGGUAUGCAGAAAGUCACUUCCAGCUGAGACAAGAUUAGCAGUUCCUACCGGGUUGGCCAGAGGAAGUCAUCUCCUGUUUGCCUCACACAGUAGAAAUGAUGUAUAAAAUCCAGGAAGAUCCUGGUAAAAAGAAAAGAAGGGCUGCAAUAGCAUACAGCAUGCACAGAUAUUGAAUCUAGCUACAGGUGUGGGUUGGGGUGCCCCACUAAUUGAGCAAGUCUGCUAUACUUUCUGACCACCAAUUGGCUUGCAUAAAAUGCCUGGCAGCUUUUAAAAAACAUUGACAUUGUGCUUCUCUGUUAUUUUGUAAUGUCAUCAGUGUGGGAUAGCCAAAUACAGAUGUAUUCAGUCAUUCUCUUUCCUAUUUUUAUUCUGUAAAGAAAGCCAGCAGGAAAUGUAAACUGCUUCUGCUUGCUGUGGAUUUCUUUUAAAGAAAAUGCAUUUAGAAAUGACACUCAAAACCACAUAUAAUUGAAUAUUUCAUAUUCUUCUGAUCUGAGGAUCUAUCUAUCUAUACAUCCAUCCCCACAGGUGUGUUAGGUGCUUGAAAUUAUAAAAGACAGGUUCCUGCCCCAAAGGUUUUACAAUCGAAGGACUAAAUUCUGGCACCCUUACUAACACUGAGUAGUAGUAUUUCAUGUAAGCAGUUCCACGGAAUUCAGUGCCUACUUACGUGAGUAAUUAAUAUUCAUUGUCAGUCAUGGUGCAAGAAUCUAGACAAAGACUCCUAAGGGGUAUCAAAGAAAAGCAGGGCAGAGUAUUAGAAGAAUGAGACUUGCAGUAAAAAAUUCUUACGGUAUGCUUUUGUUAUAUACAUGUUUUGUGGGUUCCUUUUUUCUUUUAUCAAUAGAAGUUCAUGGUUUAGUGGGUGUUUUAGGUUUUUUCUUUGUUGUAACUGAAUUUAUGGUUUGUGGGAACAACAUAAGGCCCUGAGUCAGCAAGGUGCUUCAAAGUCAAUGGGACUGCUUACACACUUUGGUGAGCUGGGGCGUCAGGCAGUAGGACUAGGCUAGUGGAGGAGAGGCCAGGUUUGUAAGCCUUACUAAAAAGAAAUGAGUCUGGUAGGAUUUGAAGGAGAAGAUUCAGGUGCAUAAUCGUAACAGUAGCUGAACUGGAAAGCUUUGUAAAAUAAUCAUGGAAGUAAAUGGUAAAAUAGGAUUUCAAUGGGUUUUGGAUUGAGCACCAAAUCCGUUAGUCAUUCCAUGUAUGGAACUCCCGUAAAAAUCCAUGGGAAUUUUGCUAGUGAGGAACUGCUGGAUUGGCUCCUUUUAAGAUAGGUUCAUAGGUACCAAACAAACUACCUCUGUAGUAUUUUUCGUUUUAAAUAGAACAAGCAAGCUCACAAGUCAAGUAUUUCCGAGGUCAUUGAGCUCCUUUUGUAAUUGUCUCCUGUGUGCUGUGUUUAGCUAUUUGGGGUUUCUUGUGAAAGAAGGAAAUUAAAUUGAUUUGAUUGCCUAGAAUACAAUAUAUACCAAUAGGCUGGCCAUCAUUGAUUUUAUUAGUGUUCUAUGACUUUCACCAGUCUACAUAAAUUUAUAAAUGGCAAAAGCACAUGCAAGACAAUAUCAGAGCUUUUAUAUCAUACAAGUGUUGACCUUUCCCCUGCUUCCCCUGCAUUUGUUGUUUGUGGUAACUAUAAUGAUAUUAUAAGGGGUUUAUGACUGACCUUGAUGUUUUGCUUAUUAGUUUGAAACAAGCACCGGGGGCAAGUUGGUGAACAUAAGUAAUUGGGUUAUAAGGCUUGCUAUGUUAAGGAUUUGUUGUAUUAGUAUGAGGCCUAUCGGAGUUUAUGCUAAAGGCUGGGUUUUAGCUAACCUAGUACAGUCCAGAAGGUCAUAAUUUUUAAAUUUCAUUCAGAGAAGGUAAAUAAGAGACCAAAGAAGGGACAAUGCACUGUAAAAUUCUGUAAUAGGGGAGUUUGAGGGUGGGGGGUUGCAGUUAGGUUGCUAGGCAAUAGGUAAGUAGUUAGACUACACUGACAUGCACAGGAAUUAUUAGGGAAAGAUUGAGAAAAGAUUGACACAAGUGUUAAUUAUGGACACAGAAUGCCACAGAUGGAAUAGGGGCAGGCAUUAUGAUGAUUCGGUACUAGAACAAAUAUGGAUAUACAUCUGUGAUAUCUGCAUAAUGUGGGGUAUAAGACACCAUGCCUAGUUCCCUUUUCUUGCUUUCUCUCCGGCUCUGAACUGAUGUCAACUGGAUCUGGGGCCUUCGGAGUUUCUCCACUUACUACUGUUUCACCCCUGUAUUUUGCUCGUCUAUUCGAGUAUCUCUGUGAUAGGAGACCCCCACCAUCUCAAAAUCUGUGAGAGCAGGAAAGAGAAGACCUCCUUCCACCACAGUUCAUUCUGGAAGCAGAAUCAGGAAGAAAGCAAGGAGGUGGCACUAGAAGAAAGAUGCUGAAUAAAUGUACUUGAGCUUCCACCAAGGAUGAUCUCUUGAAGACAGUGAAGGUACUAUCACUGUAGAGGACAAAAGAAGUCAGUGUUGCAAGCUUUGCUUUGCACCUAGCAGAAAUUAAAGGCCCUGUUGUCAAUCUACCUCCCAGCUGCCUUUCUACUCCAGACAGGAUGAACCCUGUGCCCACCCUACACCUGGUUUGGAGUACGUUCUCCAUUGAGGAGCAGAGCCAAGGUUCCACCCAGUCUAUGUGUGAGGUGAGACAUAGGUUCCAUGGUGGUUGCUCUCCUCUCCAACCUUAUGCAAUAUGGGUACCUGGUGCUGGGGCCUAAGGACACCUUGAACCCCAGGCAUUAUCUGGUUUUAACUGAGGUUCUCAUGUUCUGCUUUGUGUAUUAUAGCAGGGUGCACAUUCUUAGCUCAGACAUAACUGGGCCUCUUUUCAUCUGAAACCCUUUGUGCACUCAGUUAAGGUCACUUGUAUUUCUAGCUUCUUAUUGCCCACUUGAAUCAAGUACUUUGUGGCUGAAAUUAACAUCACUUUGAUAUCAAAUAGAUGCAGGCACAAAACUGCAAUUGCACUUAUUUGUGAUUUGCAGUUUACUGGUGUGAAAAUAGAGACUAGCUUUACAAAAUCUGGCUCUUCAUUUACAAGGAAAUGAUAGUAAUUUAUUCAAAGAGUUGAACUGAUCCUGAUAGCUUUUUAGUGUUCUGAGGGGAAAAAUAUUUUCCCCUUUCAUAACAAUAGGUGUUCUCAUGUUUUUAUACCUAAUCUCUCUCUAGCAACAAAGUAUAAAUUGUUUUGAAAUUUACAAUGCUGCAACUAUAAAUAAGGGUGUGUUGGCCAUUCUUUCCUUAGGGGCACAAGAACUGGUCUGUUAGGCUAAAGAUUUUGAAGUUUAUUUUCAGGAUAUGUUACAGUAUUAUAAUGCAUGACCACUGACCCACAGUCAGCAUACAUAAUAGAAAAGUCUCAAACUUUAGCUCAAUUCAAAUCUCUGUCACUUGAGAUUAAGGAAAAUCUCGCUCUCCACAAGAGCAGGGCUUUUAUUUAUCUUUUGGCCAGCCACUAGAGGGUGGCACAACCAGGAAAUGAUAAACAUUUGAGCAGGUCCGUCUAAUAAAGAGAGGAGCGAAGGCAGAAUAUUACAAUAUCAUAUUUAUCAGAUCAGCCAUGGUUAUACUCUUGAUCUGGGGUGGAGGGGAAAUAAUGUGAGAAAGUAAAAAAAGAAAUAAACUAGUGAUUGGGCUAAACAAUACAAACAUAUUGCAGACGGCCAGAAAUACAAGAUUGAAAAAUGAACUCAAACUGACAUGAAAAAAAAAAUGACUCCCAGAUGACAUGCAGGCAUAAUCGUUUCUGACUGAAGAGCGUAAGCUCAGUUCCUCCACUGAUUCAUCAGAAACCUUAUCCUGGAAGGAGACGUAAUACACAUUUUUUCUACCUAAAACAGGAUAAAAAUGCUAGGAUAGCUUCAGCAGUUCACUUCCUCAAGCCACCACCACCUGAAUGGAAAAUUUAGAGAACUGACCUGAAAGCUGGCCACCACCUAUGCUGGUAAUACCAAAAGACAUAACAAAGACCAUUAACCGUCUUCCUUUUUCAAACCAGAAGGGAGCCCAUUUUGUGUUACUGGAACUCAACUCCUAAAGCACUCUGUCUUACGAUGGAGUUAGACUAGAAUGCCCAAGGGACUGUUUAUCUUGACACCCAGGCAAGCUGGACUAUAUAAAUAGAUGGUCACUUACACCAAAAAAAUUGCAAUACUCAAUUUACUGCUAAAGAACCAGUCACUUACUGCAGGUCAACUGUAUUCACAUCAAACCAAACAAUACCUGUAAUAAAUCUUUAGUUAGUUUUAACUACAAAAAUAAAUGUUAUUUACAAAGUUAAAACAGGAAACACAAAUGAGUUACAGUCAGAGAUUUAUAAGGUAAUAUAAGCUGCUAUAAUUAACUCUAUACAUCCUUUAAGGCGGACCUGUGCAAAGCAGCAUGGGAAUCUCUUGCUUAUGUUUAGGCAUCUUUGCCCCUCAGAGUCCAGACAGUAUAAAGGUCCCAGUUUCUCCUUGUCAGGGAUUUUUAUCCCCUUCAGCCCAGAAUCCAAGCUGAAGGGAUGAGUUCAUGCACAAGUCUCCCCUUCCUUGAGGGAGGUAGGAAUGCAGUCUAUAAGGUUCCUGUCCUUUGAUGCUACACGAUGCCUCUUUUGCAGGAUGAGCACUUUCACCAAACAGGAAAAGAUGCAUUAAAUGUGGUAAUCACACAAUUAGAGAUUUACAUGCAAACAUUCAAUAUAACUUUAUACCAUGGGAUACAGAUAUUAUAAGUAGGAUUAAUACAUGAAGCAUCCAACAAGCAUUUUUAAUAUCUAUAUAUAUUGUUAUAAUACUAAUAUCUAUUUUAACUAUACAAACCCUACAGGUAAGCCAGACUGGUUUCCAGCUGUGCAUUUGUCAGUAUUCAGUGACGCACUGGGCCAUUGGCUUGAGCUGACACCUGGCCUGCCAGCAUCACAGCAAAUUUAAAGGAAAUGACCAAACUACAACUGGAAAAUGAGUAACUGCAGUUCCAGCUGGUGUUCAUGAUGAAAUGAAUUCUGAGAAGUGUCGCAUACUUGUUCCUUUUGGAUAAUGACUCAAUUAUUUUCUCCAUAAUAGGUACUUAAUUAACAAAGUCACACAAUCAGGUUCUUGUAAUUCAGGGGUUCUCAGACCGGCACAUCCCUCGGCCUGUGCCACCUCCCGCAGCCCCCAUUGGCCUGGAGCGGCGAACCGCAAACAGUGGGAGUCACGAUCGGCCGAACC